RNAcentral lists this transfer RNA (60 nucleotides) under Candidatus Avimonas caecicola. It matches the Rfam family "tRNA", at positions 8 to 63 of the family's 71-position model. From Rfam's summary of the family: Transfer RNA (tRNA) molecules are approximately 80 nucleotides in length. Their secondary structure includes four short double-helical elements and three loops (D, anti-codon, and T loops). The record is from RNAcentral. Lineage: Bacteria; Bacillati; Bacillota; Clostridia.
AUUAGCUCAGUUGGCAGAGCACCUGACUUUUAAUCAGGGUGUCCGGGGUUCGAAUCCCCG